ACCUCACUGGCUCAGUCGGUAGAGCAUAUGACUCUUGAUCUUGGGGUUGUGAGUUUGAGUCCCAUGUUGGGUG
Molecule: transfer RNA, 73 nt
Filed under: Mustela putorius furo (domestic ferret)
Lineage: Eukaryota; Metazoa; Chordata; Mammalia; Carnivora; Mustelidae
Also listed under: 1 other name
Rfam family: tRNA
About the family: Transfer RNA (tRNA) molecules are approximately 80 nucleotides in length. Their secondary structure includes four short double-helical elements and three loops (D, anti-codon, and T loops). Further hydrogen bonds mediate the characteristic L-shaped molecular structure. tRNAs have two regions of fundamental functional importance: the anti-codon, which is responsible for specific mRNA codon recognition, and the 3' end, to which the tRNAs corresponding amino acid is attached (by aminoacyl-tRNA synthetases). tRNAs cope with the degeneracy of the genetic code in two manners: having more than one tRNA (with a specific anti-codon) for a particular amino acid; and 'wobble' base-pairing, i.e. permitting non-standard base-pairing at the 3rd anti-codon position.
Source: Rfam by way of RNAcentral